GGACGAACGCUGGCGGCGUGCCUAACACAUGCAAGUCGAACGGGGAUUUGUUUCGGCAGAAUCCUAGUGGCGAACGGGUGAGUAACGCGUAGGCAACCUGCCCUCCGGCCGGGGACAACACUCCGAAAGGGGUGCUAAUACCGGAUACGAAGUCUGUGCCGCAUGGUACGGAUUUGAAAGAUGGCCUCUAUUUAUAAGCUAUCGCCGGGGGAUGGGCCUGCGUCCGAUUAGCUGGUUGGUGGGGUAACGGCCUACCAAGGCGACGAUCGGUAGCCGGUCUGAGAGGAUGAACGGCCACAUUGGGACUGAGACACGGCCCAGACUCCUACGGGAGGCAGCAGUGGGGAAUCUUCCGCAAUGGGCGCAAGCCUGACGGAGCAACGCCGCCGUGAGUGAGGAAGUUCUUCGGAACGUAAAGCUCUGUUGUUCCUGACGAACCUCCCUUCUAUCAACAACGGAAGGGACUGACGGUAGGGAACGAGGAAGCCACGGCUAACUACGUGCCAGCCGCGGC
RNAcentral lists this ribosomal RNA (514 nucleotides) under uncultured bacterium. Its description in RNAcentral is "bacterial SSU rRNA". It matches the Rfam family "Bacterial small subunit ribosomal RNA", at positions 27 to 518 of the family's 1533-position model. The record is from RNAcentral.